ACGAACGCUGGCGGCGUGCUUAACACAUGCAAGUCGAGCGGUAAGGCCCUUUCGGGUAGUACACGAGCGGCGAACGGGUGAGUAACACGUGGGUGACCUGCCCUCAGCUCUGGGAUAAGCCUGGGAAACCGGGUCUAAUACCGGAUAUGACUCCAUGACGCAUGUUGUGGGGUGGAAAGCCUUGUGCGGCUGAGGAUGGGCCCGCGGCCUAUCAGCUUGUUGGGGGGUGAGU
Molecule: ribosomal RNA, 232 nt
Filed under: uncultured bacterium
Lineage: Bacteria
Description: partial 16S ribosomal RNA
Rfam family: Bacterial small subunit ribosomal RNA
Source: RNAcentral